This is a long non-coding RNA of Musca domestica (house fly), 965 nucleotides long. RefSeq lists it as uncharacterized. The record is from RefSeq and is a predicted model, not a curated record. The transcript is spliced from 2 exons. NCBI's taxonomy places the organism in Eukaryota, Metazoa, Arthropoda, Insecta, Diptera, Muscidae.
ACAUUUUUUUUAUUUCACCAUACCAGAAAUUUGAAGAGAAUCUCCCAAAAAAAAAAAAAAUUUAAUUAAAUUUUGUUUUUGUGUGUAAUUAACACUUGUGUUUUAUUGUUGUGUGUGAAUGCGGUUGUGCGAACAAGUUAAAGCAACGCCAACAUUUACACCAACCGUUAAAACCAUCUCUGACCCCUCCGAUUCUAUGAACGGAGGAGGUCAGCCAAUUUAUGUUGAAUUCCCUGGCGGAAAUAAUUGUGUCCAUGACAGGGUUUAAGCCAAGCCAAGUAACCCGGCUAAUGGAACGGCAGCAAAUUUCGUCCUGUGUGUGUGACAUGUCCGUCCAGCGCCAACCAGAAGUAUUCCUUCUGCCAAAAUCCGUGUUGUCCAAAAACCUGGAGUGAUAAAAACUAAAUAAGUAUACGCUGACCAGGUAACAAUAUUUAAAAAAAAAAAAAGAGCUACUUACCGGCCUUGAGCAACAUUUUGGUUACAAUCUUUAUGCCAAGAGACCGAGUGUUUACUAAUAUCUGAAAGGGAGAAAUAUAAAUAAAAGAUUAGAAAAUCUGGAAAUAACACCGAACUCUUAAACAAUCUGCAAUAAUAGUUAUACGUUAGUUUAAGUAAAUGUUAGUAUUUAGUGAUUAGUAUAUAAGAUUUUAUUUGUGUUUGUAAAAGUUUUUAACGCCAGAUGGAAUGCGACAAGUGUAGGGUUGCCCCAGAAAAAUCCUAUUAGAAAUUUGUUUAUUGUGGGAUCAAAUGUUAAUGUCCCUUUAGAACCACAUAAGAGAGCUCUUUUAGGUGAGGAAAUAAUUUAGAAAAGCGGCCCAAGUUGACCGAAAUUCUAUAGGAUAAGGCGGUAGUCCGAGAUAUUGACUUAUCGAUGUGUCAGGUGUUAGAAAUUUAGAAUUCUGACAAGAAAAUAAUGAAGGCAAUAAAUUGUUUUAAUGUUUAAGUGUUUAGAUUAAAAUGAA